This 66-nucleotide transfer RNA is filed under the name Locusta migratoria (migratory locust). RNAcentral's name for it is "tRNA-Gly". The record is from RNAcentral. Lineage: Eukaryota; Metazoa; Arthropoda; Insecta; Orthoptera; Acrididae.
AAUUUUUCUAGUAUAAUUAGUACAUUUGACUUCCAAUCAAAAAGCUUGAAGAUAUCAAGAAAAAUA